UUGUAAUCAACGAUGUAUAUGAUGAUAAUAACAUCGUUUUCUUAAAAAUUCUGUUGUCUGAGUAUGUUUUAUACAUCAGAUGUUUGUAAUAACCGAUGUAUAUGCUAAGAAUAACCUCAGUUUUUACAUAAAAAGUAAUGUUUAGAGUUGGAUUUUACAUCAGUUCUUGUUUUAAUAAGUGUUGUCUUAAGUGUUUUUUGACAUCUUCUUUUGAAAUAAAAUAUGAUGUGUAUUUCGUUUUUUGCCACUAGUUUUCAGUCACAUGCACAUCAUAGAACCCAAAAUACUAUUCAUAUUCAUUCAUAAAAACCGCAAUACCAAUAUCCAACAUUUAAUCAUAUACAACCAAUAUACCAAAAAAGCCCAAACUACCAAAAUCUAAAGUCAUCCAAAAACUCCAAACUAAAAUAAUCUAGUUAGCCAUCGGCCAAAAUCCAAACUCCAAACUCCAAACUCUUUGGCGGCCUGUAAAAGACAUAUACUUCAUGUUAAUUAUGACUUAGAAAUGAAUAAGAAAAAUACCAAUCAACGCGAACGAUAAAUAAAUGAAUAAGAAAACACACACNUUAGCCCAGAAUGGAAUGAGCCAUUCCAUUCCAAAAAUAAAAUUUUUUGUUUGGUUGGCCCAAGGAAUGGAAUAGCCCAUUCUUUUAUUCAUUCCAAUCCAUAUCUAAUCAGAUAAUCGAUUCAUUUUUGGAAGUGCGGGUUAAGCCCAUUCCAUUCACUCACGAGUCACGCCCACCUCUCUCACGCAGCUCUCCCUCGCCUCUCUCACGCAGCUUUCUCUCGCCUCUCUCUCCGCCCCUCUCUCUCGCCUCUCUCUCUUCCUCGCAUCUCUCUUUCUCAUCACUCCUUCCUCGCAUCUCUCUCUCAUCUCUCUCUUCUUUUUCUGCCUCUCCCCCUCUUCAGUCGCCUCCAUUGUNUAUAUGUCUAUACAGCGCAACACGCAGUAGGCAAAACUGAAAUAGAAGCUAAAAUAACUAGAGAAAGUUGACUCCGCAGAUUUCAAUAAGCUCCAUGUCCGACGCAUCUCAAGCAUUCACUUUACCAUUUGCAACGAUUUUGAGAGACAAAAUAUAUUAAGACAAGAAUUAGAUGAGAAGGUACCGAUUGACCUUUGUACAGAAUAUAUGUGCAUGACUUCUGAUCUGCACCANUUACUUAAUCUGACUUUUUAGUUGUAAUUUUGUCUGAUUUGUCACUGGUUUGUCUGAUUCUUGGGCUUUACACAGAAUUUUUAGGAUUUUGUUUUUGUUAUGUAGCUUCCUAUUGAAGGUGUCUCGAGGGAUUGAUCAUCGCUGUUUGAACUACUAAUAAGUUCUGUCCUGGUCUUUGUUAUGUUUUUAAAUCUGAGCAUGACCUGAGCACCUGCUAGUAGAAUCAAUCUCUAAUUUACAGAAUAGAUUUUGAAAAUAUCCCCCAUGUCUGUAAUACUCUGUCUAUCUAUACCUUUGUUUACAUAAUUAAAUUGUCUAUAAUACUAAGAACAGCAACGUGGUUAUAUGCAGUAAUGGCACGGCUUCCGUUAAGUAAAAGAAAUUCUAGGCGAAGGAAGAGAAUUAUGUUAUAUAUGGUGUGGCUGAAAAUGAUUGCUUCGAUAUCUUGGUAUUUUCAAAUGAUUGUUGUGCUAGUUUAUGAAAUCAGUGUUCUUUUAAAUUUUAGGUUUGGCUCUGGGCAUUCACAAGCUUUUAAAUUGGCAGUCUCAAGCUUCAGAGUCCUUGACUGGAGUGUUUUUGGUGGUCCUUGAUGAUGAUUCACUUGAUUAUAUCAGUAUUAAGCUUUUAAAUUGGCAUACUGUUGAGUUUUUAUUUCCUGGCAAACUGCCCUUUCUUCAGCCUUAUUGGUGUAAUUUUUGGUCAGUCUGAAAAGCCAUAGUAUGUUGUUUUCUUUGCUGAUGUGCCUGCAAAUUAUAUUAUAACACUACUACAAUUUAGUUAAUAGACAUCGGUUUUUGGCCGAUGUCUUUGUGUAUCAGCCUCCGAUGUCUAGGUCGGCGAUGUUAAAGGUCCUAUACAAAGACAUCGGCCAAAAACUAAUGUCUCUGUGACUUUUAUCAUCGUUUUUUAGCUUAAAUACUGAUGUCUAUCAGACGUUUUUAUGAUUAAACUACAUGAUUUAAUUGUGCAUAAUGUAAUAUUAUCUCUAUAACACUAAUUUAAACAUGCGACUCGUAAGAAAUUAGAUGACAUAGACAUCGUUUCUUUAUAGGUUCCGUUGUUGUAAGCUCUUUUAUACAUCAGUUCUUUGUAAUCAACGAUGUAUAUGAUGAUAAUAACAUCGUUUUCUUAAAAAUUCUGUUGUCUGAGUAUGUUUUAUACAUCAGAUGUUUGUAAUAACCGAUGUAUAUGCUAAGAAUAACCUCAGUUUUUACAUAAAAAGUAAUGUUUAGAGUUGGAUUUUACAUCAGUUCUUGUUUUAAUAAGUGUUGUCUUAAGUGUUUUUUGACAUCUUCUUUUGAAAUAAAAUAUGAUGUGUAUUUCGUUUUUUGCCACUAGUUUUCAGUCACAUGCACAUCAUAGAACCCAAAAUACUAUUCAUAUUCAUUCAUAAAAACCGCAAUACCAAUAUCCAACAUUUAAUCAUAUACAACCAAUAUACCAAAAAAGCCCAAACUACCAAAAUCUAAAGUCAUCCAAAAACUCCAAACUAAAAUAAUCUAGUUAGCCAUCGGCCAAAAUCCAAACUCCAAACUCCAAACUCUUUGGCGGCCUGUAAAAGACAUAUACUUCAUGUUAAUUAUGACUUAGAAAUGAAUAAGAAAAAUACCAAUCAACACGAACGAUAAAUAAAUGAAUAAGAAAACACACACACACACACAUAUAAAUCCAUAAGGUAGUGGAUAAGUAUAACUGGAUAUACAUGCCAUUGAGGAAUACUACUAAAUUUUCUACAAUCACUUCCUGGAAAUUAAACUAUUAACUUAUGAUUAUGCUUAUAAUUAUCCACCCCUGUUUAUUAUGCUUAUGAUUUAUUAUGGUACUUUUUUCUUCAAAAACUAUUAACUCUUUAUGAAAGGACAGUAAGGAUAAUAAAUGUAAGAUAGCAACAGUUCAGAUUGCAAGACUGUAACUUAGCAAAAACAAAAAACAAACAAUAACACUGUAAGAGGGAAAUUAUUGGUACAUAGGUCAAAUUGUAAACUACUGACUUGUACAAGCAUACUAACGGUCCUAUUCACAGCAUAUGCUAGAACUAGUACAUAAGUAUAUGUCUAUACAGCGCAACACGCAGUAGGCAAAACUGAAAUAGAAGCUAAAAUAACUAGAGAAAGAUACCAAUGUAGGCAUGUGGAAAGAGGGGUAGCAACUGUGAAGACAAAAUAUAUUAAGACAAGAAUUAGAUGAGAAGGUACCGAUUGACCUUUGUACAGAAUUUAUGUGCAUGACUUCUGAUCUGCACCGCAGUCUUGGUUGCUAUAUUUUUUGUGCACCAAAAGA
RNAcentral lists this long non-coding RNA (3437 nucleotides) under Daucus carota (carrot). RNAcentral describes it as "long non-coding RNA (DCAR_LNC001653)". The record is from RNAcentral. Lineage: Eukaryota; Viridiplantae; Streptophyta; Magnoliopsida; Apiales; Apiaceae.